GAGGGAGGUUUUAGGCAAAUAAAGCUAGCUUAGCAGGAAAAAAUUUUGUUUAAUGCAAAUUUCAUUAAUUUUUUUUGGUGGUGGUGGUAUAGAGGACCCUUAGAUUUUCACAUUGGUGCUAUGGGCUCAAUUUAAAAAAAGUCACCUGCUGUACUAAAAAGCUCUUUGUAUUCAUAAACAACAAGCUGCCUUCUAGGAUCCCACCAAGGUCUGCAAAACAGGCGCAGUGUUUUAAGAAACUUACCAUAUUAAUGCUUUACAAUAGUGGGAGUGGGGUUUCCUGAUAGGACAGAUUCAAUCUCACAUACAGUAGCUUUCCAAUAAAUAUACUUGACUUGAUCAAGAUUUUUUGUUCUGAUGGUUAGUCUAUUAUGGAUACAAUUUGUACAUUUCUUUAGUCACUAUUUGCUUAAUGGCUUUCUGGGUUUUACAACAAAAGGAGCUAGUGCUGACGUAGGAGGGUUUUAUCUUUGGAUUAAUAGGCAGCCGAAUGUACAUGUGGCCCAGACUCUUGCUUGGUGCCACGUCCUCCCUCCUGCCUGUAAUUGGAAGCCCUUGUAAACCCUCCCUUGCAGCGAGAGCUGAAAACUCCCGAUCUGCCUUUGUUCCAUGACAAAGGAGAGAUUAUCACGUGCCCCACUGGACUGUGCAUUUCCUGGCUGGAAAAAUCGGUGGUGAAUGAUGCCACUCAGAUGUUGGGACACUGGGGGAACCUUGGUUGUUGGCCACAGCACUGAGCUAGUGACCAGGCACUGAGCCUGCUGCUGGUGAAAUUUAACACCCAUCUUUCUGUGUCUUUGUGUGUGUGUGUGUGUGUGUGUGUGUGUGAAGUCAUUCUGACUUAAUGGUGUUUUGACUGAAGUCAUUCUGUCUUAAAAGCAAGGAUUCAUUUUUUUCCCCAAUUUAAAAUAAAUACCGUGAUGAUUUAGAGGUGGGUUAAAAUUUCAAGAAUUCAAAGGUAUAGAUAAGAUACCAAAUGUCCUCUUAAGUUAAAGACUAAGAUACUCAAAUAAGAUAACCAGAGUCCCCCUCAAGAAAUGGGUUUAUGAAAAUUACCUACAGAUUAGGAUGGAUAGUGACCCAAUUAAUUUUAGUACCAUAAAUCUCAAUUAUAAUAUUUUAAAGGCCAAUUUUUAAAAGCAACUUUAAAAUGUCCCCUGCAACUUUAAAAUGUUCCCCUUUCUAGGGAAAUAGAGGAAACAUUUUUGUAAUGCCAGGAAAACCAUACAAUUUCAGAAACGGGAUUAGCUAAUUUGGUCUUUUAUUUCUUUGUACAGAAUUGAAAAUGGUGACACUUUUGGCUUUGACAAUAAAAGUUCUAAUAGUUAUUAAAGAACUUUUGUUAUUCUUUCUGCUGCAUUUUCUCUAGGCAUCUAUUUUAGUUCAUUUUGAAACUAAAGAGAAUAAUCUUGGUGGAACUGAGCAAGAAUUCAGAAUGUAAUGGUGUGGGUAAGAGAACAGUGGCAGGAGGUGUGGCUCAGUGGUAAAGCACAGGUUUAGCAUGCCAUGUGAGGCUGUGUGCUCCAUUUCUAGCACCAUUAAAAAAAAAAAAUCACC
RNAcentral lists this long non-coding RNA (1557 nucleotides) under Marmota monax (woodchuck). Lineage: Eukaryota; Metazoa; Chordata; Mammalia; Rodentia; Sciuridae. The record is from RNAcentral.